RNAcentral lists this long non-coding RNA (822 nucleotides) under Daphnia pulex (common water flea). RNAcentral describes it as "uncharacterized LOC124200231". The record is from RNAcentral. Lineage: Eukaryota; Metazoa; Arthropoda; Branchiopoda; Diplostraca; Daphniidae.
AAUAGAUACCACUGUAGGCAGCGUACGUACGCCGCAAGGUACCCGAAGGGGAUGUUAAGGGUAUACUAGUUGGAAUAGUAGAAUUGCUGUAUUGGUAUAGUUUUAUAAAGGCAGAGCUAUAGAAUAGUUAUAGAAUAAAAAUAAUAUUCUGUUAUAAAGGUAGGCCUAUUAUUAAGAUUAAUUAAUAAUAUUUAAAACAAAAAUGUUAUGCCCUUAGUUUCCGGAAGAAUGUAAUAUGCAGAAAUCGAGAAAGAGAUGAAAAGCAUAUUUCCGCAUGUUUCUAUCCAAACAUUUAAUACAAAUUCAAUUCCCAAAAACCUAAUAUGAUAUGGCGCGGCGUAAGGGUAAGGCGUGACUUUGGUGCGGCGGAGGCUUCGCCCCGCCACCCCACGUCACACCGGAUGUUGUUAAAAUUAAAUGUAAGUAACUACCUAUCAGCACUUCUUUUACUGGAGAUUGAUAGCGUUAGGUGCGGUUAGGUAAUAACAUACAGUGACUUCUAUUCUAUCAUAAGCCUACAAUAUUACUCCAACAGGAUGAUAAUUUUGAAAAGAAAAAUAAGACAGGCUAGAGAUGGUCCAACAAUCAACGGCGGUACUCUACGCUUUUUCUUCGAUCCUGGGUCAUGCUGGUCAUAUUCAAUAGAGACGAUGCUGUCAUCCUGUCACAUGUCUCUGUAUUAUCGUCUGCUCUAACAGCUAUUGAAAUUCUGUCAAAAAGUAACAAGAACUCCGUUUGAUCAAACGCCUGAAUUGAUUGCAGCCAAAUUUUCAGAAUAGAUGUAAAAAAUUUGCAGCCAUCUAUGUUGUGUUACGAGAACUG